UUUUAUGGAGAGUUUGAUCCUGGCUCAGGAUGAACGCUGGCGGCGUGCCUAAUACAUGCAAGUCGAGCGAACGGAUGAGAAGCUUGCUUCUCUGAUGUUAGCGGCGGACGGGUGAGUAACACGUGGAUAACCUACCUAUAAGACUGGGAUAACUUCGGGAAACCGGAGCUAAUACCGGAUAAUAUUUUGAACCGCAUGGUUCAAAAGUGAAAGACGGUCUUGCUGUCACUUAUAGAUGGAUCCGCGCUGCAUUAGCUAGUUGGUAAGGUAACGGCUUACCAAGGCAACGAUGCAUAGCCGACCUGAGA
RNAcentral lists this ribosomal RNA (308 nucleotides) under Staphylococcus aureus. RNAcentral's name for it is "bacterial SSU rRNA". It matches the Rfam family "Bacterial small subunit ribosomal RNA", at positions 1 to 297 of the family's 1533-position model. The record is from RNAcentral. Lineage: Bacteria; Bacillati; Bacillota; Bacilli; Caryophanales; Staphylococcaceae.